This 680-nucleotide ribosomal RNA is filed under the name uncultured bacterium. Its description in RNAcentral is "bacterial SSU rRNA". It matches the Rfam family "Bacterial small subunit ribosomal RNA", at positions 106 to 804 of the family's 1533-position model. The record is from RNAcentral.
GUGAGGAACACGUGAGAAACCUGCCUCGGAUUUUGGGAUAACAAAUGGAAACGUUUGCUAAUACCAAAUAACGUCGGAGAGUCACAUGACUUUCUGACGAAAGGAAUUCCGAUUCGAGAGGGUCUCGCGGCCUAUCAGCUUGUUGGCGGGGUAAUGGCCCACCAAGGCAACGACGGGUAGCUGGUCUGAGAGGAUGGUCAGCCACACUGGGACUGAGACACGGCCCAGACUCCUACGGGAGGCAGCAGUGGGGAAUCUUGCGCAAUGGGCGAAAGCCUGACGCAGCAACGCCGCGUGCGGGAAGAAGGCUUUCGGGCUGUAAACCGCUUUCAGCAGGAACGAAAAUGACGGUACCUGCAGAAGAAGGAGCGGCCAACUAUGUGCCAGCAGCCGCGGUGAUACAUAGGCUUCAAGCGUUGUCCGGAUUUAUUGGGCGUAAAGAGUUCGUAGGCGGUCGAGUAAGUCGGGUGUGAAAAUUCUGGGCUCAACCCAGAGACGCCACCCGAUACUGCUUAACUUGAGUUCGAUAGGGGAGUGGGGAAUUCCUAGUGUAGCGGUGAAAUGCGCAGAUAUUAGGAGGAACACCGGUGGCGAAGGCGCCACUCUGGAUCGACACUGACGCUGAGGAACGAAAGCAUGGGUAGCAAACAGGAUUAGAUACCCUGGUAGUCCAUGCGGUA